AGAGUUGAUCAUGGCUCAGGAUGAACGCUGGCGGCGUGCCUAACACAUGCAAGUCGAACGAAGCUGGGGAACGGAGAUUCGUCGAAGAGAACCAAGACUUAGUGGCGGACGGGUGAGUAAUGUAUGAGCAACCUGCCUUUCAGAGGGGGACAACAGUUGGAAACGACUGCUAAUACCGCGUAACGUAUGACAGGGGCAUCCCUGACAUACCAAAGGAGCAAUCCGCUGAAAGAUGGGCUCAUAUCUGAUUAGCUUGUUGGCGGGGUAACGGCCCACCAAGGCGACGAUCAGUAGCCGGACUGAGAGGUUGAACGGCCACAUUGGGACUGAGAUACGGCCCAGACUCCUACGGGAGGCAGCAGUGGGGAACAUUGGGCAAUGGGCGAAAGCCUGAACCCCAGCAACGCCGCGUGAAGGAAGAAGGUCUUCGGAUUGUAAACUUCUUUUAUGAGGGACGAAGGACGUGACGGUACCUCAUGAAUAAGCCACGGCUAACUACGUGCCAGCCGCUGC
RNAcentral lists this ribosomal RNA (513 nucleotides) under uncultured bacterium. Its description in RNAcentral is "bacterial SSU rRNA". It matches the Rfam family "Bacterial small subunit ribosomal RNA", at positions 8 to 518 of the family's 1533-position model. The record is from RNAcentral.